Molecule: transfer RNA, 79 nt
Filed under: Prunus dulcis (almond)
Lineage: Eukaryota; Viridiplantae; Streptophyta; Magnoliopsida; Rosales; Rosaceae
Also listed under: 16 other names
Description: tRNA-Ser
Source: RNAcentral
AGCUACUGGGAUAAGGCUUAAGGCAUUGGCUUGCUAAAUCAACAUACGUAUCAUGGGUUGAAUCAUCCCAUAGGAGCUA